GCUGGGGUGACGCAGGGGGCUGGGGGGUGCCGGGUUGAUGUGGGGGUGACGUGGGGAGGCUGGGGUGAUGUGGGGGGACCGGGGGUGACGCGGCGGGGGGGGCCGUGCCCAGGUCCAGGCCCACGUGUGGGUGAAGGGGGGCUGCGAGGCCAGCAAGUGCGGCAAGUGCCAGAAGAAGAUCAAGAGCUUCCAGAGCCUGACGGGGCUGCACUGCGUCUGGUGCCACCUCAAGGUGGGCACGUCCCUGUCCCCGAGGGGGUGGGGGACCCCCCCCCCCACCAUGGCCCCCCUCCCCAGCCCCCCCCCCUCACCCCGCUCUGUCCCCAGAUCCACGAGGAAUGCCAGCCCCUCGUGCCCCCCGCCUGCGACUGCGGGGUCCUGCGGGACCACAUCCUGCCCCCCGCCGCCAUCUACCCCGUCCUGCUGGAGCGGCAGGACAGCCAGCGGGACGGCAGCGGGACGCCGGUGGAGGAGACGCCACAGGUCUUCACCACCCCCGAGGGCCAGGCGCUGCGGGGUGCUGCGCAAGUUCCAGUAUCUGCUCAACCCCCGGCAGGUCUAUAACCUGCUGCAGGGAGGACCCACCCCCGGGUGAGUGGGGCUUGGGGGGGGCCACUGGGGUGUCCAGGUGGGGUGGGGCCCAAAC
Molecule: long non-coding RNA, 646 nt
Filed under: Calidris pygmaea (Spoon-billed sandpiper)
Lineage: Eukaryota; Metazoa; Chordata; Aves; Charadriiformes; Scolopacidae
Description: lncRNA (ENSCPGG00000016823.1)
Source: RNAcentral